CGUCUAUAUACGUAUAGCAUAUCAAUAAGCGGAGGAAAAGAAACUAACAAGGAUUCCCCUAGUAACGGCGAGUGAAGCGGGAAGAGCUCAAAUUUGAAAUCUUCAAGGGUUUCCCUUGACGAAUUGUAGUUUAAAGAAGUGUUUUCUGUUAGAGAGGUGGUAAAAGUUCUUUGGAAUAGGACAUCAUAGAGGGUGAGAAUCCCGUAUUUGACCACUUUCUACUAACGUUGUGUUACACUUUCAAAGAGUCGGAUUGUUUGGGAAUGCAGUCCAAAAUGGGUGGUAAAUUUCAUCUAAAGCUAAAUAUUGGCGAGAGACCGAUAGCGAACAAGUACCGUGAGGGAAAGAUGAAAAGAACUUUGAAAAGAGAGUUAAACAGUACGUGAAAUUGUCAAAAGGGAAGCGUUUGACACCAGUGUUGUUUUUCCGAAAAUCAAUUAAGAAUGGCCGGAUUUUAAGUUUCAUGACCUUAAAAGCUUGUUUCUUAUUUUUCUUGUCUUUCUUAAUGCACUUUUCGGUUAACAAGUCAACAUCAAUUUCUUUUGUUGUAAAAGGUUAAGAGGAAGGUGGCUUUACUUUCGGGUAAAGUGUUUAUAGCCUUUUAACUCUGCAAUCGGAGAGAUUGAGGUCUGCAGCGUAGAUCCUUCGGGGCUAGAUACGUUUGUGCUAAGUUAUAGCUUUUCAUAGACAACUUGUUGACUAUGUUUAGUCUUGUAGCUUACUCGCAUGCGCUAUUUUACCUACGCUUAGGAUGUUGACACACGCGCGUGCUCG
RNAcentral lists this ribosomal RNA (774 nucleotides) under uncultured Neocallimastigales. RNAcentral describes it as "partial large subunit ribosomal RNA". It matches the Rfam family "Eukaryotic large subunit ribosomal RNA", at positions 26 to 643 of the family's 3401-position model. Lineage: Eukaryota; Fungi; Neocallimastigomycota; Neocallimastigomycetes; Neocallimastigales. The record is from RNAcentral.